This 505-nucleotide ribosomal RNA is filed under the name uncultured bacterium. Its description in RNAcentral is "partial 16S ribosomal RNA". It matches the Rfam family "Bacterial small subunit ribosomal RNA", at positions 28 to 507 of the family's 1533-position model. The record is from RNAcentral.
GACGAACGCUGGCGGCGUGCCUAAUACAUGCAAGUAGAACGCACAGUUUAUACCGUAGCUUGCUACACCAUAGACUGUGAGUUGCGAACGGGUGAGUAACGCGUAGGUAACCUGCCUGGUAGCGGGGGAUAACUAUUGGAAACGAUAGCUAAUACCGCAUAAUAUUAAUUAUUGCAUGAUAAUUAAUUGAAAGGUGCAAUUGCACCACUACCAGAUGGACCUGCGUUGUAUUAGCUAGUAGGGGAGGUAACGGCUCACCUAGGCGACGAUACAUAGCCGACCUGAGAGGGUGGUCGGCCACACUGGGACUGGGACACGGCCCCGACUCCUACGGGAGGCAGCAGUAGGGAAUCUUCGGCAAUGGACGAAAGUCUGACCGCGCAACGCCGCGUGAGUGAAGAAGGUUUUCGGAUCGUAAAGCUCUGUUGUAAGAGAAGAACGGGUGUGAGAGUGGAAAGUUCACACUGUGACGGUAUCUUACCAGAAAGGGACGGCUAACUACGUG